ACCUACGGGUGAAAGCAGGGGGAUCUUCGGACCUUGCGCGAUUGAAUGAGCCGAUGUCGGAUUAGCUAGUUGGCGGGUAAAGGCCCACCAAGGCGACGAUCCGUAGCUGGUCUGAGAGGAUGAUCAGCCACACUGGAACUGAGACACGGUCCAGACUCCUACGGGAGGCAGCAGUGGGGAAUAUUGGACAAUGGGCGCAAGCCUGAUCCAGCCAUACCGCGUGGGUGAAGAAGGCCUUCGGGUUGUAAAGCCCUUUUGUUGGGAAAGAAAUCCAGCUGGCUAAUACCCGGUUGGGAUGACGGUACCCAAAGAAUAAGCACCGGCUAACUUCGUGC
RNAcentral lists this ribosomal RNA (335 nucleotides) under uncultured Devosia sp. Its description in RNAcentral is "bacterial SSU rRNA". It matches the Rfam family "Bacterial small subunit ribosomal RNA", at positions 192 to 508 of the family's 1533-position model. The record is from RNAcentral. Lineage: Bacteria; Pseudomonadati; Pseudomonadota; Alphaproteobacteria; Hyphomicrobiales; Devosiaceae.